Molecule: non-coding RNA, 126 nt
Filed under: Propithecus coquereli (Coquerel's sifaka)
Lineage: Eukaryota; Metazoa; Chordata; Mammalia; Primates; Indriidae
Description: U4atac minor spliceosomal RNA (ENSPCOG00000002546.1)
Rfam family: U4atac minor spliceosomal RNA
About the family: U4atac is an essential component of the minor U12-type spliceosome complex which is required for removal of the rarer class of eukaryotic introns (AT-AC, U12-type). These interacting stem loops have been shown to be required for in vivo splicing.
Source: Rfam by way of RNAcentral
ACCAUCCUUUUCUUGGGGUAGUGCUACUGUCCAAUGAAUGAGUAGUCAGGGCAGUACUGCUAACGCCUACACAACAUGCCUGCAUCAACUAGAGCUUUGCUUUUCUUUGGUGCAAUUUUUGGAAAA